RNAcentral lists this transfer RNA (85 nucleotides) under Patescibacteria group bacterium. Its description in RNAcentral is "tRNA-Ser". It matches the Rfam family "tRNA". Rfam says of the family: Transfer RNA (tRNA) molecules are approximately 80 nucleotides in length. The record is from RNAcentral.
GGUGAGAUGGCUGAGUGGCCUAAAGCACACGUUUGGAGUACGUGCGUCCUGAAAGGGACCCAGAGUUCGAAUCUCUGUCUCACCG